Molecule: transfer RNA, 73 nt
Filed under: Stegodyphus mimosarum
Lineage: Eukaryota; Metazoa; Arthropoda; Arachnida; Araneae; Eresidae
Rfam family: tRNA
About the family: Transfer RNA (tRNA) molecules are approximately 80 nucleotides in length.
Source: Rfam by way of RNAcentral
GCCUUCGUGGUGUAGUGGUCAGCACGCUCGACGCGUAACCGAGAGGUCCGUGGUUCGAUUCCCGGCGGAGGCG